Molecule: ribosomal RNA, 254 nt
Filed under: uncultured bacterium
Lineage: Bacteria
Description: partial 16S ribosomal RNA
Rfam family: Bacterial small subunit ribosomal RNA
Source: RNAcentral
UACGGAGGGUGCGAGCGUUGUCCGGAAUCACUGGGCGUAAAGGGCGCGUAGGUGGCCUGUGGAAGUCUGCGGUGAAAGCCUGGGGCUCAACCCCGGGUCGGCCGUGCGAACUGGGGGGCUGGAGCACUGUAGAGGCAGGCGGAAUUCCGGGUGUAGCGGUGGAAUGCGUAGAGAUCCGGAAGAACACCGGUGGCGAAGGCGGCCUGCUGGGCAGUUGCUGACACUGAGGCGCGACAGCGUGGGGAGCAAACAGG